UGGUGACUUCGGCACUGAAUAUUCUAAAAUUGGAAUGGUACAGACAAGAUUAGAAUGGACCCUGCACAAGGAUCACAUAAGAAUUUAUGGUGUGUUCUAUAUUUAA
This is a small nuclear RNA of Rhinolophus ferrumequinum (greater horseshoe bat), 106 nucleotides long. The record is from Ensembl. Lineage: Eukaryota; Metazoa; Chordata; Mammalia; Chiroptera; Rhinolophidae.